ACAUACGACCAUAGGGUGUGGAAAACAGGGCUUCCCGUCCGCUCAGCCGUACUUAAGCCAGACGCCGGUGAGUUAGUAGUUGGGUGGGUGACCACCAGCGAAUCCUCACUGUUGUAUGUU
RNAcentral lists this ribosomal RNA (120 nucleotides) under Penicillium italicum. The record is from RNAcentral. Lineage: Eukaryota; Fungi; Ascomycota; Eurotiomycetes; Eurotiales; Aspergillaceae.